GAUGAACGCUGGCGGCGUGCCUAAUACAUGCAAGUCGAGCGAACAGACGAGGAGCUUGCUACUCUGACGUUAGCGGCGGACGGGUGAGUAACAUGUGGAUAACCUACCUAUAAGACUGGGAUAACUUCGGGAAACCGGAGCUAAUAACGGAUAAUAUAUUGAACCGCAUGGUUCAAUAGUGAAAGACGGUUUUGCUGUCACUUAUAGAUGGAUCCGCGCUGCAUUAGCUAGUUGGUAAGGUAACGGCUUACCAAGGCGACGAUGCGUAGCCGACCUGCGAGGGUGAUUGGCCACACUGGAACUGAGACGCGGUCCAGACUCCUACGGGAGGCAGCAGUAGGGAAGCUUCCGCAAUGGGCGAAAGCCUGACGGAGCAACGCCGCGUGAGUGAUGAAGGUCUUCGGGUCGUAAAACUCUGUUAUGAGGGAAGAACAAAUGUGUAAGUAACUAUGCACGUCUUGACGGUACCUAAUCAGAAAGCCACGGCUAACUACGUG
RNAcentral lists this ribosomal RNA (497 nucleotides) under uncultured bacterium. RNAcentral's name for it is "partial 16S ribosomal RNA". It matches the Rfam family "Bacterial small subunit ribosomal RNA", at positions 28 to 507 of the family's 1533-position model. The record is from RNAcentral.